GGGGAAUAUUGGACAAUGGGCGCAAGCCUGAUCCAGCCAUGCCGCGUGAGUGAUGAAGGCCUUCGGGUUGUAAACCUCUUUCAGCAGGGAAGAAGCGAAAGUGACGGUACCUGCAGAAGAAGCGCCGGCUAACUACGUGCCAGCAGCCGCGGUAAUACGUAGGGCGCAAGCGUUGUCCGGAAUUAUUGGGCGUAAAGAGCUCGUAGGCGGUUAGUCGCGUCUGCUGUGAAAACUCGAGGCUCAACCUCGGGCUUGCAGUGGGUACGGGCUGACUAGAGUGCGGUAGGGGUGACUGGAAUUCCUGGUGUAGCGGUGGAAUGCGCAGAUAUCAGGAGGAACACCGAUGGCGAAGGCAGGUCACUGGGCCGCAACUGACGCUGAGGAGCGAAAGCAUGGGGAGCGAACA
RNAcentral lists this ribosomal RNA (406 nucleotides) under uncultured Cellulomonas sp. RNAcentral's name for it is "bacterial SSU rRNA". It matches the Rfam family "Bacterial small subunit ribosomal RNA", at positions 356 to 774 of the family's 1533-position model. Lineage: Bacteria; Bacillati; Actinomycetota; Actinomycetes; Micrococcales; Cellulomonadaceae. The record is from RNAcentral.